GCGGGCAGACGGGUGAUCGCUGCAAUUCCCGCAGAGGAAAGUCCGAACUCCGCAGGGCAGUGUGCCUCGUAAUGCGAGGGCCCCGUAAGGGGACGGAAAGUGCCACAGAAAACAUACCGCCGGAUCGGGACCUGUCCCGAACUUCGGUAAGGGUGAAAAGGUGCGGUAAGAGCGCACCAGUGGUCCGGUAACGGAUCAGCUUGGCAAACCCCACACGGAGCAAGGCCAAAUAGGGAAACGUGGCGUCUUUCGGGGCGCUGGGAACGGCCCGUUCCAGUUUCCGGGUAGGCCGCUUGAGCUUCAGGGAAACCCGAGGCCCAGAUGAAUGAUCGCCACCUGGAUCGCUUCAGGUACAGAAUUCGGCUUAUAGUCUGCCUGCCUAU
Molecule: RNase P RNA, 383 nt
Filed under: Acidobacteriota bacterium
Lineage: Bacteria; Pseudomonadati; Acidobacteriota
Description: Acidobacteria bacterium RNase P RNA component class A
Rfam family: Bacterial RNase P class A
About the family: Ribonuclease P (RNase P) is a ubiquitous endoribonuclease, found in archaea, bacteria and eukarya as well as chloroplasts and mitochondria.
Source: RNAcentral